Long non-coding RNA from Macaca fascicularis (crab-eating macaque), 2724 nucleotides. Lineage: Eukaryota; Metazoa; Chordata; Mammalia; Primates; Cercopithecidae. The record is from Ensembl.
GCAGAGGUAGGAGGAUGACUUGAGUCCAGGAGUUCAAGACCAGCUUGGGCAACAUGGCAAAACCCUGUCUCUAAAUAAAUUAAAAUCAGCUGGGCAUGGUGGCAUACAUCUGUGGUCCCAGUUACUUAGGUGUCUGAGGUGAGAGGAUCACUUGAGCCUGCGAGGUUGAGGCUGCAGUGAGCCAAUAUUGUGCCACUGUACUCCAGCCUAGGUGACAGAGUGAAAUCCUCUCUCUCAAAAAAAAAGAAAAGAAAAGAAUUUAAAAAUCGAACCAUGUACAUCACAUCCCGGAGGGAGCAGAGAGCCUGGCACAUUCCAAGAGAAAAAAGGAAAAAAAAAAUGAUGUGAGCUAGACAACAGUGUUGCAGGCUAAAGUUGCAAGGCCUGAGGACCCCAUUAGCUCUGCAGCCUUUGUUGAGCCCAGCAGGAAACCACUAAGGACUUGGAAGCAGAACAGGGACAGAAGUGUUUUUUGUUUGUUUACCUGCGGGAUCUGCUAUUGUUGUCCAGGCUGGUCCUGAACUCCUGGCCUCAAGCACAGUGGCUCACACCUGUAGUUCCAGCAUUUUGAGAGGCUGAGGCAGGAGGAUCGCUUGAACCCACAAGUUCAAGAUCAGCCUGGGCAACAUAGUGAGAUCCUAUCUCUAAAAAAAAAAAGUUUUUUAAUUAGCCAGGUAUGAUGGUGCACCCUUAUAGUUCCAGCUACUCAAGAGGCUAAGGUAGGAGGAUCUCUUGAGCCUCGGGAGGUCAAGGUUACCGUGAGUUGUGAUCAUGUCACUGCACUUCAGCCUGGGUGACAGGGUGACACCCCUGUCUCAAAAUAAAAGAUAACACUUGAGCUGUAGAUUGGAUCACAAUAAGAGGUAUCUAUUAUGCUUGGAGAAAUUUAAAAAUGAGAUAAAAGGUAUUGUGGAAUAGACUGUUCAUAUGUACUGGAAAUAGAAAGGAAUAUGAGAAGUAGGAUAUGCUAGAAAUGCAGAAAUAAAAUGACAAUAAAAAAAAGAACUUAGAAAUCAUUCAUAAUUCCACCAUCCAGGAAAGCUGACUUCCUUCUAGUGCUCCCUCUUUGUGUCCUACUUUUCUCCUAAGAGUAUAUUCUGAGCAUUUUCCCAUGAUAUCAAAUACUCUUGAGAAUAUGAUUUUUACUGGCCACCUAAUCAUUCUAUCAUAUAGAUAUGCAAACAUGUAUUUGGCCAGUCCUGUGUUGUGAGGCAUUCGGGUUGUCUCAAGUUUUUGCUAGGUUCAAUUAUGCUGUCAUGGACUUUUCGUCCAAGUUGGAUGUAACAGAAAACCUAGUUCAAACAAGCAGGAAGCAAACAGGAGUCAGUGGCGAAACUCAGCAGUGAAGAGGAAAGAAGCUUUGGGCAAGGCUCAGUCAGGGAUCCUGCUCCAUUUCCCUGGAGUUCUUCAGGGUUUGCCCUUCUCUGUUGGCAGUGGUGCCCUCAGGCUGGCUCCUCUGCAGCCCUUGGGUGAUAAACUUUUCUGUUCGUGACCAUGGGAGUGGCCUGUUUUGCGCUGACUGGGCCACCUGAUGAAAGGCUAGGGAUGAGGGAGGGAAUCUAUAACCCUGAGUGUCUUGGGUCUGGGUUCCCAGUCCGUCCUUGAGCGGGCAACUGUGGCAAGACAUGUGAGGGUGGCUGUUGCACGAUGUAGGGGAAUGGGGGGAAAUGCUGAGGACAUAACCAAAGAACAUCCUCUGGCUACUCAGAGAGGGCCUGUAGACCAGCAGCCUCCGCAUCACCUGGGAACUUACUGGACAUGACUCCCAGACCUAGCAGAUCAGUCUGCAUUUUCAUAAGGCUUCCAGGAGGCAGUUCUCACAUUGAAGUUGAGAAGCCCUGCCCUCUGGCACCCUUGUGUAGGGAUCCCUGAAAAUAGAAUGGCUGGAUCAACAGCAUGGAUGUUUUAAAAAUUAUUAUUAUUAUUAUUUUUUUUUUUUUUGAGAUGGAGUUUCGCUCUUGUUUCCCAGGCUGGAGUGCAAUGGCGGGAUCUCAGUUCACUGCAAACUCCGUCUCCCGGGUUCAAGCAAUUCCUCUGCCUCAGCCUCCCGAGUAGCUGGGACUACAGGCGCCCGCCACCUCGCCUGGCUAAUGUUUUGUAUUUUUAGUAGAGACGGGUUUUCACCGUAUUAACCAGGAUGGUCUCCAUCUCCUGACCUCGUGAUCCGCCUGCCUCAGCUGCCCAAAGUGCUGGGAUUACAGGCGUGAGCCACUGUGCCCGGCCAGCCUGAAAAUUCUUAAUACACAUUGUCAAAUUGUUCUAUAAAAGGUUCUGUCUCUUCACAUUCCCACCCUGGGAUCUGGGUGUUUGAGGCCUAAAACUCAUGCAACUUGGGGAAGCCCUUUUUAAGAAAAAGAAUAAACAAUUAAGUACAAAAGUGAAUAUUUAGAAUAACAGAAAAUUUAAGGAUACCUUGGCCAGGCAUGGUCGCUCACGCCUGUAAUCUCAGCACUUUGGGAGGGCGAGGUGGGAUGACUGCUUGAGCUCAGGAGUUGAGACCAGCCUGAGCAACACAGUGAGACUCUGUCUCUACCAAAGUUAAAAAAAAAAAUUAGCCGGGCAUAGUGGUGCACACCUGCAGUCCCAGCUGCUUGGGGGGCUGAGGUAGGAGGAUCACUUGAACCCUGAAAGUCGAGGCUGCAGUGAGCCCUGAUCAUACCAUUGUACUACAGCCUGGGUGACAGAGCGAGACCCUGUCUCAAAAAAAAAAAAAAAAAAAAAAAA